Molecule: ribosomal RNA, 1379 nt
Filed under: Oberthueria falcigera
Lineage: Eukaryota; Metazoa; Arthropoda; Insecta; Lepidoptera; Endromidae
Description: 16S ribosomal RNA
Source: RNAcentral
GGGGUAAAAUUAAUAAUAAGAGGGUUAAUAAAAAAAAUUUUAAUAUUAAAAUAAUUUAAUGGGGGUUAAAGUAUUUUAAUAGAAAAAAUUUGAAUUUUUAUAGUUAAAUAGUAUUGUGAAAGAAUUUUGAAAUAUUUUGAAAUUGAAUUUAUAAGAAAGUAAAUUUAAUUUAUUGUAUCUUGGGUAUCAGAGUUUAUUAAAAAUUUUUUAUUGAUUUUUAAAUUUCUCGAAUUUAAAAGAGAUAAUUAAUUAGAAAAGUUAUUGUUGAAUAAAUAUUUUAAAUAAUUAAUUUGAAAUGAAACGUUAAUCGUUUUUAAAUAUAUCUAGUUUUUUUAGAAUAAAAUUUAAUUUUAAAUUUUAAUAUAAAAGUUAUUAAUUAAUUUAAUAAUUUUUUAUUAAAAUUAUAUAUUUUAAGGGAUAAGCUUUAAAUUAAAUUUUUAUAAUAAUUUAAAUUUUUAAUAUAAAAUUUUUAUAAUUUAUAUUGUUAAUAAAUUAUAUUUUUUUAUAAAUAAUUUUAUAAAAAUAUUAAAAUUUAAUUUUAAAUUUAAAUUUUUAUAAAAAAAAAUUUUUUAAUAUAUAAAAUUUAGUUAUUAUGAUAAAAUUAGUAUAUAAAUAAAUGUAAUUUAUAAAUUAAAGUUAUUUAAUUUUAAUUAAAAUUAAUUAAAAGGAAUUCGGCAAAUUUUUAUAUUCACUUGUUUAUCAAAAACAUGUCUUUUUGGUUAUAAUUUAAAGUCUAAUCUGCCCACUGAUAUAAUUAAAGGGCUGCAGUAUUUUGACUGUACAAAGGUAGCAUAAUCAUUAGUCUCUUAAUUGGUGACUUGUAUGAAAGAUUGGAUGAAAUAUAAGCUGUCUUUAAAUUAUAUUAUUGAAUUUAAUUUUUUAAUUAAAAAGUUAAAAUAAAUUAAAAAGACGAGAAGACCCUAUAGAGUUUUAUAAUUUUUAUAAAUUAAAAUUAUUUUUAAUUUUUUAAUUAAAAUUUAUUAUAAAUUAUUUUAUUGGGGUGAUGAAAAAAUUUAAUAAACUUUUUUUAUAAGAAUUCAUUGAUAAGUGAUUAAAUGAUCCAAUUUUAUUGAUUAUAAGAUUAAAUUACCUUAGGGAUAACAGCGUAAUUUUUUUUUUUAGUUCAAAUAAAAAAAAGAGUUUGCGACCUCGAUGUUGGAUUAAGAUAAAAUUUAUAUGCAAAAGUAUAAAAUUUUUGAUCUGUUCGAUCAUUAAAAUCUUACAUGAUCUGAGUUCAAACCGGUGUGAGCCAGGUUGGUUUCUAUCUUUUAAUAAAAAAAAUAUUUUAGUACGAAAGGAUCAAAUAUUUUAAUUAAAUUAAUGGUUAAAUGAAUUUUAUUAAAUUUUAUAUAAAUUUUUAUAUUUUUUAAAAAUAAAUU